This is a non-coding RNA of Coturnix japonica (Japanese quail), 2631 nucleotides long. The record is from RefSeq and is a predicted model, not a curated record. NCBI's taxonomy places the organism in Eukaryota, Metazoa, Chordata, Aves, Galliformes, Phasianidae.
UUUCCCCAUUGCAUUUUACAGAUAGAGACUCACCGAUCAAUGCUACCAGUGCCAGUGGCUUCCAACGUUUCUUUUAAUUGUCCUGCAAUAGACAACAGUUUUGUGGUGCCAAGCUCUAACACAACCCAAGAGUGACUCCUCAAGAAGUGGCAAAAUCUCCUUGGUGAGUUUGUGGACGGACUCUUAAAACUUCUUAAUAGCCUUCAGGGAGGUUACAAUAAUUGAGGUGAGUUUGGUUAUGAUAUUCCUAACUGUGUUCAUUCUAAGGCAGACUCAGGCUUCAUGUAGGUUUUGAAGUACAGCUGGGAUUUUAACAUAUACCAGAUGCAAAACAAUGGGGAGGAAGGGUUUUGACUUGUUAGUGUAGUAUGUGGUUGUCUGUCAGUACGGAAACAUCCAUACAAUCUUUUAAUAAAUAACAGCUUGUUUACGAUUAACUACCAAGACAGCAGCGGUGAGCCUUUUCUACUUGUAACAUCAGCACUUCCCUGAUGCUUAACUUUCCUGUAGUAAUACAGCUACUCUUGGUAUUAAUAAUAAAAUGGCUUCACUAAGUCACUUUGGGUUUUUUUGAACCUUGCCUUCAAUUAACUCUCAUUCAAACAGUCAAAUUUAAUUCAUUUUGAGCAAAUCAGAGUAAUCUGACAAACUAGUGGUCUCAAAUUGUUCCUGAAACAGCCAUUGGCUUUGGGUGCCCUACAUAUGAAGCUAAAUUGGAAGCACUCAGAGUCUCCUUAAUGGACAUCAUUUUUCAUGACAAAGCCUCUUCUGGAAUGAAGUACUUGAAAGAAAACUUGGUAUCAACACCAGCAAUUCAGAUCUAUGGUAUACACUGUUGUUUAAGGUAGUAACCCCUAAUCCUGUGAAUCAGAGUCCUCUGCUUUAAAAGUUUCCUAUGCAGUGACAGCUCAAUUGAAUGACUUUUUCCCUCUAAUCUUGCCUUUUUUUCCACCACUGUUAGCCCCAUAAUAGCCAUAUAAAUGUUUAUGACAGUCUAGUUUUUACCUUCAUUUCAAUGGAAACGCACAAGUGUAAAGCUCAAAGAUUUCAUGAACAUUUAUAAUGGCUAUGCCACAAACCAAUGAAAUCUAGUAAGUAAACCAAAAUCUAACAGGGUAUUUUAUAAUGUACUUUGGGCCUUAUCAGCAAAAAGCAGGAUUAGUCUCUCUUCUAGCUGUAGCUGAUAGACAAAACUGCUUUUUAUCUAACCCAAGAACAGGAACAACUUCCAAGAAGUAAAGCAAAUAAUAGCUGGCUUUAAAUACAUGUAACUGUCUUAGCAAAGUCCCAAGGAAAUCAAUUUUACUGUUAAUCUGGACUAAUUCAUCCAACUCUCACUGCCAUUAGCAAGUCACUGUGUACAGCUUUUGCUUACAGAAAAAUGUUUCUUUCGGCUAUGAAUAAGAAUCACCACUGUAAGGGACUUCAUGCUUAAUAAAACCUACUCUUUUAAAUGAUAGCAUAAAAAUGUGCUUGCUGCAAUGUGUGUUUCUCCUCCCAAGAGAAGUAUUUUUCACAUUGCAGAGCCUCUUUGUGAACCGACUGGUAGUUAAACUGAUUCAUUUUGUCCUAUUUUGGGCUUCGUAUCUGUUUUCAUCCUUAUGCUCCAGUAUUGCUGGAAUGAGAACAGCUGUGAUUGGGCAUGUCACUAUCAGCACGUUCUCUGGAGGGUCUGUGCUUGGGGUCUUAUAAUAACCUAAGCAAGUCUGCUCCUGUUCUGAAGGAAAACUAUAAAUCCAGAAGUUUUCUGCCAGUAUUUAAUAUUUUCAGCAACGCUUCCUGUCUUCUACCUCUGAAUUCCAUCUUAUCCUUUUCACAUAAGUGUUUUUAGUGGAAAAGCAAACUGUCCAUUAACUCCCAUUAGGUAAUUGCAUUUUGUUGGGGUAUUUUUUAGAUAGUAUGCAAGGGUUGAACUGUCACAUAACCUGUAAUAAAGAUGAAAUAGUGCCUUCUCCAUUGUUCUGAACCUGUCCAAUGAUAGAGAUCAGCAGGAGAAGGUAACAGCUUUAAGCUGUCUUCAUUUACUUCCAGACUCAGAUGCCAAAUUAUCUUAGUUGUGAACAACAGUGAUGUUUCCAUUACCUACAGCUGUUUUGCACCUACAGCUCUGACACAAACUGCUCCUAUAUCUAAGAGAAGAGUUCUUGUAAAGCUACGAGAGGCAAACUGAGCACUACAACUGUGCGUGUCAAAUUAGGGAGGACUGGAAUUCCUUCAAAUGAUAUCUGGAUACUUUAUGUCUUUAUAUACCGUCAGAUGAAUACUACAGCAAAAGAAUGGGUAAGCUAGAAUCUGCCACUGAGUUUUGAUAGUCAUUAAAGGAAUUUUCUGGUAAAACCUUCUGUUGGGAAACUCAAGUUUGUAUCUAGGAAGAGAACGAGAAAAAGCAACUCAAAGUCGACAAGAAAAGGCAGCUAAAAAGAGCUGAAACAAAAUGAGGAAGGGUUUGUAUCUGAUGCAACCACUGUUACUUUUUUUUAGGAUGCACUCUAGUGGACACUUAGCAAAAUGGAAUGAGGAUGCAAACCUUAUGGAAAUAUAGGUCAGCCAUGCCAGCUACUGUGGUUAAAGAACAGAAAGGAAGCACAGCAUGCCAAAAUUAACAGGCUUUAUAGGAACACCCAGAAAGCA